This 72-nucleotide transfer RNA is filed under the name Candidatus Carsonella ruddii. RNAcentral's name for it is "tRNA-Gln". It matches the Rfam family "tRNA". From Rfam's summary of the family: Transfer RNA (tRNA) molecules are approximately 80 nucleotides in length. Their secondary structure includes four short double-helical elements and three loops (D, anti-codon, and T loops). Further hydrogen bonds mediate the characteristic L-shaped molecular structure. tRNAs have two regions of fundamental functional importance: the anti-codon, which is responsible for specific mRNA codon recognition, and the 3' end, to which the tRNAs corresponding amino acid is attached (by aminoacyl-tRNA synthetases). tRNAs cope with the degeneracy of the genetic code in two manners: having more than one tRNA (with a specific anti-codon) for a particular amino acid; and 'wobble' base-pairing, i.e. permitting non-standard base-pairing at the 3rd anti-codon position. Lineage: Bacteria; Pseudomonadati; Pseudomonadota; Gammaproteobacteria; Oceanospirillales; Halomonadaceae. RNAcentral also lists the same sequence under 1 other name. The record is from RNAcentral.
UGAGAUAUAGCCAAGUGGUAAGGCAUUGGUUUUUGAUACCAAAAAUCCUAGGUUCAAUUCCUAGUAUCUCAG